This 254-nucleotide ribosomal RNA is filed under the name uncultured bacterium. RNAcentral describes it as "partial 16S ribosomal RNA". It matches the Rfam family "Bacterial small subunit ribosomal RNA", at positions 524 to 776 of the family's 1533-position model. The record is from RNAcentral.
UACGUAGGGGGCGAGCGUUGUCCGGAUUUAUUGGGCGUAAAGAGUUCGUAGGCGGUUUGGCAAGUCGGGUGUGAAAACUCCGGGCUCAACUCGGAGACGCCACUCGAUACUGCUAUGACUCGAGUCCGGUAGGGGAGUGCGGAAUUCCUGGUGUAGCGGUGAAAUGCGCAGAUAUCAGGAGGAACACCGGUGGCGAAGGCGGCACUCUGGGCCGGUACUGACGCUGAGGAGCGAAAGCGUGGGGAGCGAACAGG